RNAcentral lists this ribosomal RNA (506 nucleotides) under uncultured bacterium. RNAcentral's name for it is "partial 16S ribosomal RNA". It matches the Rfam family "Bacterial small subunit ribosomal RNA", at positions 29 to 523 of the family's 1533-position model. The record is from RNAcentral.
AGUGAACGCUGGCGGUAGGCCUAACACAUGCAAGUCGAACGGCAGCACAGGAGAGCUUGCUCUCUGGGUGGCGAGUGGUGGACGGGUGAGGAAUACAUCGGAAUCUACUUUUUCGUGGGGGAUAACGUAGGGAAACUUACGCUAAUACCGCAUACGACCUACGGGUGAAAGCAGGGGAUCUUCGGACCUUGCGCGAUUGAAUGAGCCGAUGUCGGAUUAGCUAGUUGGCGGGGUAAAGGCCCACCAAGGCGACGAUCCGGAGCUGGUCCGAGGGGAUGAGCAGCCACACUGGAACUGAGAACCGGUCCAGACUCCUACGGGAGGCAGCAGUGGGGAAUAUUGGAGAAUGGGCGCAAGCCUGAUCCAGCCAUACCGCGUGGGUGAAGAAGGCCUUCGGGUUGUAAAGCCCUUUUGUUGGGAAAGAAAUCCAGCUGGUUAAUACCCGGUUGGGAUGACGGUACCCAAAGAAUAAGCACCGGCUAACUUCGUGCCAGCCGCCGCAGUAA